RNAcentral lists this long non-coding RNA (215 nucleotides) under Lathyrus oleraceus (garden pea). Its description in RNAcentral is "Pisum sativum (pea) long non-coding RNA (PSAT_LNC006521)". The record is from RNAcentral. Lineage: Eukaryota; Viridiplantae; Streptophyta; Magnoliopsida; Fabales; Fabaceae.
CAAGAAAUAUGGUAAUAGUUUCUCCAGGAAGAAGGAAGGUGAAACCAAUGCAGUGUCAGCAAGGAGGCAGAGGAGUCCUCAUAUCAUAAAAAGUCCGCAACCACGUCAGCAUCAUCAUCAGGUUUCACCAAUUAUUCCAAUAUUUUCCAAUAAUCAAUCAAUGUCAGUUCAACAACAAUGUCAAUAACAACCACAACAAAUAGCAAACAACUACA